GGCACUAUGGCCGAGUGGUUAGGCAAAGGUCUGCAAAACCUUUCACAGUAGUUCGAUUCUACUUAGUGCCU
RNAcentral lists this transfer RNA (71 nucleotides) under Candidatus Shikimatogenerans bostrichidophilus. RNAcentral describes it as "tRNA-Cys". It matches the Rfam family "tRNA". From Rfam's summary of the family: Transfer RNA (tRNA) molecules are approximately 80 nucleotides in length. Their secondary structure includes four short double-helical elements and three loops (D, anti-codon, and T loops). Lineage: Bacteria; Pseudomonadati; Bacteroidota; Flavobacteriia; Flavobacteriales. The record is from RNAcentral.